CCAAUUUUAGCGAACUUGAUCCUUUGGAUUAUGGUCUCGCAAAAAUACUGUAUUUAAAACCCCACCCUUCAUAAAUGAAUAAUCUACUAUAUAAAUAAUAAAUAAAGA
This 108-nucleotide unclassified non-coding RNA is filed under the name uncultured fungus. Its description in RNAcentral is "sequence contains ITS1". The record is from RNAcentral. Lineage: Eukaryota; Fungi.